This 174-nucleotide small nuclear RNA is filed under the name Cyclopterus lumpus (lumpfish). RNAcentral describes it as "U2 spliceosomal RNA (ENSCLMG00005020676.1)". The stretch from base 1 to 92 matches the Rfam family "U2 spliceosomal RNA". From Rfam's summary of the family: U2 is a small nuclear RNA (snRNA) component of the spliceosome (involved in pre-mRNA splicing). Complementary binding between U2 snRNA (in an area lying towards the 5' end but 3' to hairpin I) and the branchpoint sequence (BPS) of the intron results the bulging out of an unpaired adenosine, on the BPS, which initiates a nucleophilic attack at the intronic 5' splice site, thus starting the first of two transesterification reactions that mediate splicing. The record is from RNAcentral. Lineage: Eukaryota; Metazoa; Chordata; Actinopteri; Perciformes; Cyclopteridae.
AUCGCUUCUCGGCCUUUUGGCUAAGAUCAAGUGUAGUAUCUGUUAUCAGAUACUGUUCUUUAUCUGCCUUUUGUUUUAGACAGCGAUCUCUUCCGGUUAGCUUUAAAACUCUUGCCUACUUGUGGCAUAGUUUGAUGCUAUUAGGAAGGACAUGGAUUACAGUGUUAACCUCCA